UCUACGGGAGGCAGCAGUAGGGAAUCUUCGGCAAUGGACGCAAGUCUGACCGAGCAACGCCGCGUGAGUGAAGAAGGUUUUCGGAUCGUAAAGCUCUGUUGUCAGCAAAGAACAGGAGAAAGAGGAAAUGCUUUUUCUAUGACGGUAGCUGACCAGAAAGCCACGGCUAACUACGUGCCAGCAGCCGCGGUAAUA
Molecule: ribosomal RNA, 195 nt
Filed under: uncultured Tetragenococcus sp.
Lineage: Bacteria; Bacillati; Bacillota; Bacilli; Lactobacillales; Enterococcaceae
Description: partial 16S ribosomal RNA
Rfam family: Bacterial small subunit ribosomal RNA
Source: RNAcentral